This is a long non-coding RNA of Drosophila eugracilis, 1041 nucleotides long. RefSeq lists it as uncharacterized. NCBI's taxonomy places the organism in Eukaryota, Metazoa, Arthropoda, Insecta, Diptera, Drosophilidae. The record is from RefSeq and is a predicted model, not a curated record. The transcript is spliced from 2 exons.
AGAUCCCUAAAAAUCAAAAAAAUUUUAAUGAACAUUUAAUAUAAAAAUUACAAAGUGUUAAAACUAGUUAGAAAAAGGUAAAAAAUAUAAGUUUCUUAUUAAAACGUAGAUUACAUUACAUAGAACUCGCCAAUCGAAAUAAUUUAAAAUCUUAAUUUGUUUUGAAUCAAGUUGGCCAUGACUUUAUUGUGUCGAAAGAAGUUCGUAUUGUCUCAGUAAAAAAUUAUUUCACUAACGAAACUGUUAAAGAAGGAAUAACGGUCACGUUGUGCAGAAGUUCAAGGUCGGCGCAGCUAAGACUUUUCUCGUCAUGGAAAACCAGUUCCGUCUUAAGUGACAAUACAUUUUUCUGGAUGCAAUUUUUCUACUUGCGGUGAACUCGUAAUGGUAACAUUUAAGUACCGAAUAAUAAAUCGCAAUCCGGUUCCCGCAGAUUCCAAUGCAAAUUUUCGAAAGACAAGAAUAUUAAUCUUAAAACAAAGUUUAAAAUCAUCUAUUGGCACUGUUGAGCAGUGUUAAGAAACAUAUGCUUUUCGUGUUGCCACAUUUGGUUGUGCCACGUUUUGAAUCAAGUUGGCAAUGCCUUUUUCUGACAAAUGAGGUUAGGUUUUUCAUAAUGGUAAAUUAUUUCACUGCCAAGGUUCGAGCAGUUAAGACGCCUUUCGAUCCCAAAAAGCAUCAAAAUUGUGAAAAAUGUUUGAAAUCAGAAGAAGAAAACUCAAAAAAAAAAAGGAAAUCAGACCACAUGGCUUUUGCUUUUCUGGAAUCUUCAACCUUGCAUUAAUGUGAACGCAUUAAUGUGACUCAUCAAAUCCCGGCUAUGGACUUCUACAACAUUCCUAAUUCCUGUAAUUCCAGUUUACAAAUUUUUCACUAUUUUUGAAUUUUGAUAGCGGCCACGUUCUGCAGAAUAUCUGCAGAUCGUCACAGCAAAGACUUUUCUCGUCAUGGCAGACAAGUUUCUUUUCAAGGGACAAUACACUUUGGUUGUUCAGAUUUAGGUUUAGCUUAUCUCCCGGAUGCAAUAUUUCUUUUUGUACU